RNAcentral lists this ribosomal RNA (495 nucleotides) under uncultured bacterium. Its description in RNAcentral is "partial 16S ribosomal RNA". It matches the Rfam family "Bacterial small subunit ribosomal RNA", at positions 28 to 507 of the family's 1533-position model. The record is from RNAcentral.
GACGAACGCUGGCGGCGUGCCUAAUACAUGCAAGUAGAACGCUGAAGGAGGAGCUUGCUUCUCUGGAUGAGUUGCGAACGGGUGAGUAACGCGUAGGUAACCUGCCUGGUAGCGGGGGAUAACUAUUGGAAACGAUAGCUAAUACCGCAUAAUAGCAGUUGUUGCAUGAUAACUGUUUGAAAGGUGCAAUUGCACCACUACCAGAUGGACCUGCGUUGUAUUAGCUAGUUGGUGGGGUAACGGCUCACCAAGGCGACGAUACAUAGCCGACCUGAGAGGGUGAUCGGCCACACUGGGACUGAGACACGGCCCAGACGCCUACGGGAGGCAGCAGUAGGGAAUCUUCGGCAAUGGACGGAAGUCUGACCGAGCAACGCCGCGUGAGUGAAGAAGGUUUUCGGAUCGUAAAGCUCUGUUGUAAGAGAAGAACGAGUGUGAGAGUGGAAAGUUCACACUGUGACGGUAUCUUACCAGAAAGGGACGGCUAACUACGUG